GGGGCCAACGCCGCGCGCGCCUGGUUGAUGGGAUCGACCAAAGGUACGGUCCACUCGUGCACGCGAGCCACAUCGAUGGCUACUUGCACCUUACGUGCGAGCGCAAGGGCAGGGCCGCGGCACAUGGCCAUGCAGUCGUGCGACGGCGCAUUGUCCACCGGUUUGGCGAGGCCCUUUGCAAACGCCCCUAGAGCGAUCGUGGCGAUUGCUGCAUAGUCGCGCGAUGGUCGUCGAGUCGUGUGGCACAGCCACCACGACUUUGCGCCACCGUUGGCCAGGACAUGAGUGUGCUGGUCGGCGCGGCGUCGGAUCUCGGUGCACGCCCGCUUUAACAGCGGCGCAGAACAUGUUUGACCUGCCGCACGGGCAAUGUUUAUGACGGGCAUCCAUUGAUCGCUCUCAGCAACGUGUACGACCGCCAGCGCGGCAACGUCUGUUGGCGUUGCUACGUAGGCGCUUCCGUUGGCAAUGCGAAGGAGCCACGCGCUAACGGGUCCGAGUGCCGGGCGUGCGCGCACCUUUUUCCUCAAUUGAGUGUAGGAGCGGCCUAGGGCCUCGACGCGCGAGGCGAUGGCCAGACAGCGGUCCACGGCAUCGGCGUCGCCUCCCAUGGUCACGGCAUCGACGAGCGCCUUGCGGAGAGGAAACACACCGCACCUGCGCUCAAGCGCCCUGAUGAUGUGAGCAGGCACGGUGGACGGCUGAACCCUGGCAGUGGCGAGAUGGAAAAGAGUUUCGGCCGCCUCGACGGCCUUCUCGGCGCGACGCAGCCUUGCGCCCAGGGCAUAUUGUUUGACUUUUUCGUCGGUCGCAUCGACCAACAGUGGACGGUCCAGGCCCAUGCAGGUUGAACUGAGCGAGAUGGCCCGGCCAAUGCGCACGGUCGGCGCCUCCUCUGCCUCUGGGGCCUCGGCGACGAUUGUGAGUACCUUGACCGCCAUGCCCACUGUCGGCUCGACAGCCCUGGAAAGCAGGUCGACUGAAAGGGUCUCGCGCAUCCUUGUGACUCUGCCAUAGGCGGUGGCGCCCCUGGUGAAUUCGACACCCCUGUCGCACUCCAUUUUGUUUUCUGGUCACAACAGGCAAUGAAUACUGGCGAGCCAAAGGUUGUCC
RNAcentral lists this long non-coding RNA (1113 nucleotides) under Pandoravirus celtis. RNAcentral's name for it is "hypothetical ncRNA". The record is from RNAcentral.